This 150-nucleotide small nucleolar RNA is filed under the name Catagonus wagneri (Chacoan peccary). Lineage: Eukaryota; Metazoa; Chordata; Mammalia; Artiodactyla; Tayassuidae. The record is from RNAcentral.
UCUGCACAUUGUUAGAGCUUGGAGAUGAGGCCAGUGGCCGAUGAACUCCCAAGUGUAGGUAGUGUGCUACAUGAAUGGCAAGCUUUUCACUACCAGCAGAAGGGUCUCAGGCCCAGUGACUGGAGUUUGAUACAAUUACUUGUUUCAAGU